RNAcentral lists this ribosomal RNA (324 nucleotides) under uncultured eukaryote. RNAcentral's name for it is "partial 18S ribosomal RNA". It matches the Rfam family "Eukaryotic small subunit ribosomal RNA", at positions 1470 to 1796 of the family's 1831-position model. The record is from RNAcentral.
CCCUUAGAUGUCCUGGGCUGCACGCGCGCUACACUGAUGUGUCCAGUAAGCACCUAACCUAUUCCGAGAGGAGCGGGUAACCUUAGCAAAGCACAUCGUGAUGGGGAUAGAUUAUUGCAAUUAUUAGUCUUGAACGAGGAAUUCCUAGUAAGCACAAGUCAUCAGCUUGUGUUGAUUACGUCCCUGCCCUUUGUACACACCGCCCGUCGCUCCUACCGAUUGAAUGCUCCGGUGAGCUCUUCGGACUGCGCGGUCUGCAGUUUCUGCGUUCCGUGCGGAAAGUUGUGCAAACCUUAACAUUUAGAGGAAGGAGAAGUCGUAACA